Molecule: long non-coding RNA, 476 nt
Organism: Orbicella faveolata
Lineage: Eukaryota; Metazoa; Cnidaria; Anthozoa; Scleractinia; Merulinidae
Source: RefSeq, a predicted model, not a curated record
UAUCGUGUGUGCUUGUUUUGUUUUUCUUCCAACAGAACUACCUAAAAGGCAGUGCUAACCCUUGUCAACCCGUCACCGUUGUCGAAGAAGGAAAGGAAGUCAGUGAAUUCCACAAAGCCUUCAACUGAGAGUGGCACCAUGUUUCCAGUGAUGCUGUGUAAAAGGAACGACGAAAUACUUUGGAUUCAACGGAUAUGAUUAAAUGAUAUUUUAGUGUGUUUUUUUGACAUUAGAUUCAAUCUUCAAUCCACUAUAUUGGAACUGCUUAGUGUCAUGCCUAAUCGUAGAUGAAUUUUUGUGCGCUGUUUGUGUCACAACACGGGCAAAUCCUUCUGCAUUUGCAGGAUACCUAAGCGGGAAAGAAAGUAAAUUUAAAAACUGUAGGUUUCUUUGUAAUUUUGUUUUUAAUCAACCUUCAAUGCUGGAAAGUACCGAGCAUAAUGAAAUAAAAAUAUAAAUCAGAAGAUUUACUAUAA